UACGUAGGGCGCAAGCGUUGUCCGGAAUUAUUGGGCGUAAAGAGCUCGUAGGCGGUUUGUCGCGUCUGUCGUGAAAGCCCACAGCUUAACUGUGGGUCUGCGGUGGAUACGGGCAGACUAGAGGCAGGUAGGGGAGAACGGAAUUCCCGGUGUAGCGGUGAAAUGCGCAGAUAUCGGGAGGAACACCGGUGGCGAAGGCGGAUCUCUGGGCCUGUCCUGACGCUCAGGCGCGAAAGCUAGGGGAGCGAACAGG
Molecule: ribosomal RNA, 253 nt
Filed under: uncultured bacterium
Lineage: Bacteria
Description: partial 16S ribosomal RNA
Rfam family: Bacterial small subunit ribosomal RNA
Source: RNAcentral